GCCCCUGUAGUUCAACGGAUAGAACAGUAGCCUUCUAAGCUUCAAACAGAGGUUCGAUUCCUCUCGGGGGCACCA
RNAcentral lists this transfer RNA (75 nucleotides) under Patescibacteria group bacterium. Its description in RNAcentral is "tRNA-Arg". It matches the Rfam family "tRNA". Rfam says of the family: Transfer RNA (tRNA) molecules are approximately 80 nucleotides in length. The record is from RNAcentral.